CUUGUGGAGGACGAUCAUGUCCUCUUUUUAAGUUGUUAACUUUAGCCAGCCCUUUUUCGAUUAAUUUGUGUUUUUUCUGUUUUGUUUCUAGUCUAGAUUUUGCAAGGGCCCUGGAUUGUAUUGGAUAGUUAUUUAAAUUAUUUGUUAUUAUCAGUGUCUUUAACUUGUUUGCUCGCAAUUCAGUUCUAUUUUUGUUUGAAUACCGUGAAUCAGAGACUUGAUAGGUAGGAUUGUUCUGUUCAGUUCUAUUUCUAGAUUUUUAUUUUUAUGAUGAUUGUUUUAGCUGGUCUUGCAUGGAAGGAUUGAUUGGUAGGCAGUGGCUUUUAUAGUUCCAACUUCAGGAUCUAACAGCAAAUUUGAAGCAAGAUUGUAUAGGAGCAAUUCAGUUCUCUGGAGGGCUUUCCUAGCAGUCUCCCUAAGAUCACUUCGACCACUGAGAACCGAGGGUUAGAUUCUGCAAAAUAGUGUGAUUUGAUAUUUGAAUAAUGG
This is a long non-coding RNA of Camellia sinensis, 489 nucleotides long. RefSeq lists it as uncharacterized. Lineage: Eukaryota; Viridiplantae; Streptophyta; Magnoliopsida; Ericales; Theaceae. The record is from RefSeq and is a predicted model, not a curated record.